UGGAAAAGUUCGUUCACCAGAAGCAAAAAUCUUACAAUGUGUUUCUGGCUGAGUUAAGAGAAAAUAUAUUUCAAAAUUUUUUUGUUGUUGUUAACAAUUUGUUGCCAAAUAAAUUGAAAUUAUUCAAAAGCAUUGAAAUUAGCUUAAUCAGUAUGUCUGUCUUCUGAAAUGUGAGAUGAAUGAGUACCUUUCAUUUAUAAUGCAACAAAAGAGAAUAUCCUGCACUUUGCAACUGAAACUACCUUUAGUCCACAUUCACGAAUUACAGCAUGUCAGACAAAGAAACGGAUUUGUUUGGUGCAAUAAGUGAUAGCAGACCUUUACAUAUUUGAAGUGCAACAGAUGGCCUUCCAAGAAGAGCAUAAUGACUGGCAGACAGUACUCUUCGUUAGAGUGGCUUGGAAUGUCUUCAGCAAUUACACAGAGAGUAUUCUGGGGGGGAAGCCCUGUCAUCUCUAUGAUUCUUCUCAUGUAAAUAGCUGUGAUUUCCCUGUUUAGAUGCUAAAAAAUUGUCUUCUACAACCCAACAAGCUAGCCAAUGAACUGGAAAAGGAAGCACCUUUGGCCCUCCCAAGGCUAUUCAAGAUGAGGCUCCAGACAUUUUGUCACCUGGGAGAUAUGUUUGCUGUUUAAUACAAUGGAAAGAAUGUUUUCUUCCAUCUGGCCCAGUGGUAUCAAGCACCAUUUGUAUGAAGACAAUGAGCACAAGACUGUUCAAUCUCAAAAGCAUCCUACUUGCUCUCUGGACCACAUAGCAUUGAGCUAACACAUCUCCUAUAAUCCCACAGUUCUGUUACUAAGAAGCAAUAGUUUAUAACCAUCACAAUAUUUCAUGAUUAAAAUAAAACAGUUUUCAGUAUGAACACCUUUCGACUGAGCUAUUGAGUCCUUCCCAAAGAAGGAUCAGAAGAGCUCCCGAGCCUCAGGUGCAAGGUGGAGGGAGCCGAGGAAAUCUGCCAGAAGGUUGCUUUGCAGUCUCUCCUUUAGGUCUUUCCAACCUUGAUGACAGAAGCCACAACAUAUGGAGCAUUAGUUAGGAACACACUCCUCCCAUGAACGAUGAAGGCAACAGUUGUACCAAGGCA
Molecule: long non-coding RNA, 1085 nt
Organism: Grus americana (Whooping crane)
Lineage: Eukaryota; Metazoa; Chordata; Aves; Gruiformes; Gruidae
Exons: 3
Source: RefSeq, a predicted model, not a curated record